UGAAAAGUUUUGGCUCUGUACAUUAUCUACAGACAUAUAUGUAUGUAUAUUAAAGCGCUUCAAAUAUGUAGUGUUGGAUAGAUUUGAAAAGUGGUGUAAAGAAAAGCGUUAAUGCUAGAUGAAAAUUUAUAAAUCAAACUGGGGGAGGUAGUUGGAGUGACGUACCCCGUGAUCUCAAUCCUCUAGAAGAGAAAAUACUGGCAAUUAUAACGAUUGAUGCUGUCGACGGGGAUGCAUCCAUACCGGAAGCCGGUGUUGAAUUUAAGGAACGUCCUGAGGAUUCUGUGGAUAUUUUGGAAAGUGAAGAAACAUUUUUAUCGCCAUCAAUAUUAUCAACAGGUGCACUUUCAUGUCAUCAACAUCUACAGCUGAGAUUUUAUGCCAGUAGAAUAUUUGGAACUUGAAGAUACAUUUAUAUCUCCCGGAAAAAAAUGAAAACAACUCCCUUACUUUCAACCCCAUCAACGUCUAAAGUUUACCGAAACAAAAGCAAUAAAACUUUUACACCACCAAACAAGAGCAACAAAAAUUCACUAUCUUCAAACAUACCAAAAUAUAAUGAAGCAUUAAAUGAAGCAAAGGAGAUGCAUAAAGACUUGAUUGCAAAAUUAAAUAAUAUAGAAAAUCAAAACCAUACAAUUUA
Molecule: long non-coding RNA, 643 nt
Organism: Lucilia cuprina (Australian sheep blowfly)
Lineage: Eukaryota; Metazoa; Arthropoda; Insecta; Diptera; Calliphoridae
Exons: 3
Source: RefSeq, a predicted model, not a curated record